GAUGAACGCUGGCGGCGUGCCUCAAACAUGCAAGUCGAGCGGGGCUAUGUAAUACCGCAAGGUAGAACAUAGCCUAGCGGCGAACGGGUGAGUAACACGUGGGUAACCUGCCUGGAAGACAGGGAUAACGAUUCGAAAGGGUCGCUAAUACCUGAUAAUAUCCUUUCAUCGCAUGGUGAUAGGAAGAAAGGGGGAAACCCGCUUUCAGAUGGGCCCGCGUCCCAUCAGCUAGUUGGUAAGGUAAAGGCUUACCAAGGCGACGACGGGUAGCCGGUCUGAGAGGAUGUACGGCCACACUGGGACUGAGAUACGGCCCAGACUCCUACGGGAGGCAGCAGUUGGGAAUCUUAGGCAAUGGACGAAAGUCUGACCUAGCGACGCCGCGUGAGGGAAGAAGGCCUUCGGGUUGUAAACCUCUGUCAUGGGGGAAGAAGGUAAGUGACGGUACCCCAAGAGGAAGCCCCUGCUAACUACGUG
Molecule: ribosomal RNA, 477 nt
Filed under: uncultured bacterium
Lineage: Bacteria
Description: bacterial SSU rRNA
Rfam family: Bacterial small subunit ribosomal RNA
Source: RNAcentral